This 76-nucleotide transfer RNA is filed under the name Cytophagales bacterium. RNAcentral describes it as "tRNA-Gly". It matches the Rfam family "tRNA". Rfam says of the family: Transfer RNA (tRNA) molecules are approximately 80 nucleotides in length. Their secondary structure includes four short double-helical elements and three loops (D, anti-codon, and T loops). The record is from RNAcentral. Lineage: Bacteria; Pseudomonadati; Bacteroidota; Cytophagia; Cytophagales.
GCGGGGAUAGCUUAGUGGUCAAGAGCGCUUGUCUUCCAGGCAAGAGACAUCGGUUCGAAUCCUUUUCCCCGCUCCA